UGAGUACGAGAUGCUACGGCAUCGAAGCAGUCUAUGUCAUACUUCCAAGAAAAGCUUGCACUGUCAUAAACAAAAAUGCCUGUACCAUAACCGACACAGGUGGGUAGGUAGAGUAUACUAAGGGGCGCGAGAUAACUCUCUCUAAGGAACUCGGCAAAAUGACUCCGUAACUUCGGGAGAAGGAGUGCCUUAUUUAUAAGGUUGCAAUAACAAGAUCCAAGCAACUGUUUACCAAAAACACAGGUCUCCGCGAAGUCGUAAGACGAUGUAUGGGGGCUGACGCCUGCCCAGUGCCAGAAGGUUAAAGAAGUUGGUUAGCACUCGCGAAGCUGAUAACUGAAGCCCUGGUGAACGGCGGCCGUAACGAUAACGGUCCUAAGGUAGCGAAAUUCCUUGUCGGGUAAGUUCCGACCCGCACGAAAGGCGUAAUGAUUUGGAUACUGUCUCGGAGAGGGGCUCGGUGAAAUAGACUUGUCUGUGAAGAUGCGGACUACCUGCACCUGGACAGAAAGACCCUAUGAAGCUUUACUGUAACUUGAAAUUGAAAUUGGACUUUAUUUGCGCAGUAUAGGUGGGAGGCAUUGAGAAUAAUCUUGCGGGAUUAUUGGAGCCAUCAGUGAGAUACCACUCUUGUAAUGUUAGAUUUCUAACUUUGUAUCAUUAUCUGGUCAAAGAACAGUUUCAGGCGGGCAGUUUGACUGGGGCGGUCGCCUCCCAAACGGUAACGGAGGCGCACAAAGGUUUCCUCUGAACGGGUAGAAAUCGUAUCUAGAGUGUAAAGGCAUAAGGAAGCUUGACUGUGAGACCUACAAGUCGAGCAGGGACGAAAGUCGGUCUUAGUGAUCUGACGGUGCUGAGUGGAAAGGCCGUCACUCAACGGAUAAAAGUUACUCUAGGAUAACAGGCUGAUCUCCCCCAAGAGUUCACAUCGACGGGGAGGUUUGGCACCUCGAUGUCGGCUCAUCGCAUCCUGGGGCGGUAGUACGUCCCAAGGGUUGGGCUGUUCGCCCAUGAAAGCGGUACGCGAGCUGGGUUCAGAACGUCGUGAGACAGUUCGGUCCAUAUCCGGUGUAGGCGUUAGAAUAUUGAGAGGAGCCUUCUCUAGUACGAGAGGACCGAGAAGGACAUACCUCUGGUGUACCAGUUAUUGUGCCAACGGUAAACGCUGGGUAGCUAUGUGUGGAGUGGAUAACCGCUGAAAGCAUCUAAGUGGGAAGCCCACCUCAAGAUAAGUAUUCUC
This 1240-nucleotide ribosomal RNA is filed under the name metagenome. RNAcentral's name for it is "bacterial LSU rRNA". It matches the Rfam family "Bacterial large subunit ribosomal RNA", at positions 1564 to 2815 of the family's 2925-position model. The record is from RNAcentral.